This 527-nucleotide ribosomal RNA is filed under the name uncultured Hanseniaspora. RNAcentral describes it as "eukaryotic LSU rRNA". It matches the Rfam family "Eukaryotic large subunit ribosomal RNA", at positions 62 to 588 of the family's 3401-position model. The record is from RNAcentral. Lineage: Eukaryota; Fungi; Ascomycota; Saccharomycetes; Saccharomycodales; Saccharomycodaceae.
AAACCAACUGGGAUUACCUUAGUAACGGCGAGUGAAGCGGUAAAAGCUCAAAUUUGAAAUCUGGUACUUUCAGUGCCCGAGUUGUAAUUUGUAGAAUUUGUCUUUGAUUAGGUCCUUGUCUAUGUUCCUUGGAACAGGACGUCAUAGAGGGUGAGAAUCCCGUUUGGCGAGGAUACCUUUUCUCUGUAAGACUUUUUCGAAGAGUCGAGUUGUUUGGGAAUGCAGCUCAAAGUGGGUGGUAAAUUCCAUCUAAAGCUAAAUAUUGGCGAGAGACCGAUAGCGAACAAGUACAGUGAUGGAAAGAUGAAAAGAACUUUGAAAAGAGAGUGAAAAAGUACGUGAAAUUGUUGAAAGGGAAGGGCAUUUGAUCAGACAUGGUGUUUUUGUCAUGCACUCGCCUCUCGUGGGCUUGGGUCUCUCAAAAAUUUCACUGGGCCAACAUCAAUUUUGGCGGCAGGAAAAAUCUUUUGGAAUGUAGCUACCUCGGUAGUGUUAUAGCCUUUUGAAAUACUGUCAGCUGGGAUUGA